UACAGAGGGUGCGAGCGUUAGGCGGAUUUACUGGGCGUAAAGCAUGCGUAGGCGGCUUUUUAAGUCGUAUGUUAAAUCCCCGAGCUUAACUUGUGAAUUGCAUUCGAUACUGGGAAGCUAGAGUAUGGGAGAGGAUGGUAGAAUUCCAGGUGUAGCGGUGAAAUGCGUAGAGAUCUGGAGGAAUACCGAUGGCGAAGGCAGCCAUCUGACCUAAGACUGACGCUGAGGUACGAAAGCAUGGGGAGCAAACAGG
This 253-nucleotide unclassified non-coding RNA is filed under the name uncultured Moraxellaceae bacterium. Its description in RNAcentral is "contains 16S-23S intergenic spacer region". It matches the Rfam family "Bacterial small subunit ribosomal RNA", at positions 524 to 776 of the family's 1533-position model. The record is from RNAcentral. Lineage: Bacteria; Pseudomonadati; Pseudomonadota; Gammaproteobacteria; Moraxellales; Moraxellaceae.